GUAAUUCUUAAAAGCUUCAAAGAAGUCAGUCGCUGCCUCUGCCCACUGUCUUUGUGCCAUAUGCAUUUUCCCACCACACUCACGGAUUAUUCCCAUUAUUCUAGGAUGGGGGAUAGCUGAUUUGAUUGUAAGAGCCUUCCCAUACAAUUCCUUCAGCUUUUUGUUGUUCUUUGUCUCAGUGUACAUUUGAAUUUCAAUAGCAUAAACCUCCAAGAGCUGAGUCCCUUUCUUUUGAUCAUCGGUACCAUCAGCUUUUUGACAAGAUCUGUGAAGCUCCUUCAUAAUCUUGUUCAUUUUACCAUACUCACCCAUGUCAAACCAGAUCUUGCAAAGCUUAAGAUUUGUCUUAAACCACAAUCGUUCAUUUUUAGCCUCUUCAAGGGCUUUCAGUGUGGUUUCGUAGAACUCCCUCAACAACCCAACAUUCUGACUAGCUGAGCCAGAGACAAAAUCCAUUAUGUUGUUGAUGCACUUCUCGCUGUAAUUUCGCGUUACCGCUGAUAUAAUAUAAGUAAGCAUUUCUCUGUAAGAGUCCAUCAUCUGCUUAAACCUCCCUAAACGAUAAUAAAUUUUGACUGUCUGCUUAAGAGCUUUAAAACCCCAUUCUGCCUUCUCAGGUUCCAUUCGUACCACCUCUGCGAAUCCCUCAAGUGCACCCUCUGGAUCCGUUUCAACCAUACCUUUUGAAUUAUAAUACUGAUUCUCAAUAUCAACAUCCUGCUCCUCCUGAUCCUCGUCAGAAUACUCAAAUCCGUAAUCCUCCAUAUCAGCAUCUGAA
RNAcentral lists this unclassified non-coding RNA (778 nucleotides) under Hevea brasiliensis (rubber tree). The record is from RNAcentral. Lineage: Eukaryota; Viridiplantae; Streptophyta; Magnoliopsida; Malpighiales; Euphorbiaceae.